UACGUAGGUGACAAGCGUUGUCCGGAUUUACUGGGCGUAAAGCGCGCGUAGGUGGUCAUGUAAGUCCGCUGUGAAAGUCAAAGGCUCAACCUUUGAAAGCCGGUGGAUACUGCAUGACUAGAGUACGGAAGAGGCGAGUGGAAUUCCUGGUGUAGCGGUGGAAUGCGCAGAUAUCAGGAGGAACACCAAUAGCGAAGGCAGCUCGCUGGGACGUUACUGACACUGAGGCGCGAAAGCGUGGGGAGCGAACAGG
RNAcentral lists this ribosomal RNA (253 nucleotides) under uncultured bacterium. Its description in RNAcentral is "partial 16S ribosomal RNA". It matches the Rfam family "Bacterial small subunit ribosomal RNA", at positions 524 to 776 of the family's 1533-position model. The record is from RNAcentral.